AACGCAUCUUGCGCCCCUUGGUAUUCCGAGGAGCAUGCCUGUUUGAGUGUCAUUUGACCUUCUCUCAACCAUAUCAGUCAAUGAUGUGGCUUGGAUGUGGGAUUGCAGGCUUCGAGUAUGAAGUCCAGCUCUCCUGAAAUGCAUUAGUGGUAUCUGUCUGAGCUGCUAUUUGGUGUGAUAACUUAUCUAUGCCUUUUUGGUGAUCAGCACCGCUCAUAACCUACCAAAUUUGACAAAUUUGACCUCAAAUCAGGUAGGACUACCCGCUGAACUUAA
RNAcentral lists this unclassified non-coding RNA (276 nucleotides) under uncultured Inocybe. Its description in RNAcentral is "partial contains 5.8S ribosomal RNA, internal transcribed spacer 2, and large subunit ribosomal RNA". The record is from RNAcentral. Lineage: Eukaryota; Fungi; Basidiomycota; Agaricomycetes; Agaricales; Cortinariaceae.